CCCUUAGAUGUUCUGGGCCGCACGCGUGCUACACUGAGUGGAUCAGCGGGUCAGGUUGCGCGAAAGCGUUUCCUAAUCUUUAAAUCCGCUCGUGAUGGGGAUUGACGGUUGCAAUUUUCUGUCAUGAACGAGGAAUACCUUGUAAGCGCGGGUCAUCAUCCCGCGCUGAAUACGUCCCUGCCCUUUGUACACACCGCCCGUCGCUCCUACCGAUUGAAUGGCUUAGUGAGCCUUUGGGAUUGGCAGCUUGUACCGGCAACGGUAGCAGGCAGCCGAAAACUUAGGCAAACUUGGUCAUUUAGAGGAAGUAAAAGUCGUAACA
Molecule: ribosomal RNA, 322 nt
Filed under: uncultured eukaryote
Lineage: Eukaryota
Description: partial 18S ribosomal RNA
Rfam family: Eukaryotic small subunit ribosomal RNA
Source: RNAcentral